RNAcentral lists this ribosomal RNA (498 nucleotides) under uncultured bacterium. Its description in RNAcentral is "partial 16S ribosomal RNA". It matches the Rfam family "Bacterial small subunit ribosomal RNA", at positions 30 to 523 of the family's 1533-position model. The record is from RNAcentral.
AUUGAACGCUGGCGGCAUGCCUUACACAUGCAAGUCGAACGGUAACAGGUCUUCGGAUGCUGACGAGUGGCGAACGGGUGAGUAAUACAUCGGAACGUGCCUAGUAGUGGGGGAUAACUACUCGAAAGAGUGGCUAAUACCGCAUGAGAUCUACGGAUGAAAGCAGGGGAUCGCAAGACCUUGUGCUACUAGAGCGGCCGAUGGCAGAUGAGGUAGUUGGUGGGAUAAAAGCUUACCAAGCCGACGAUCUGUAGCUGGUCUGAGAGGACGAUCAGCCACACUGGGACUGAGACACGGCCCAGACUCCUACGGGAGGCAUCAGUGGGGAAUUUUGGACAAUGGGCGCAAGCCUGAUCCAGCAAUGCCGCGUGCAGGAUGAAGGCCUUCGGGUUGUAAACUGCUUUUGUACGGAACGAAAAGCCCCGGGUUAAUACCCUGGGGUCAUGACGGUACCGUAAGAAUAAGCACCGGCUAACUACGUGCCAGCCGCCGCCGUAA